UUAGCCUUAAACCUCAGUAGUUAAAACAACAAAACUACUCGCCAGAAUACUACAAGCAAUGGCUUGAAACUCAAAGGACUUGGCGGUGCUUCAUAUCCCCCUAGAGGAGCCUGUCCCGUAAUCGAUAAACCCCGAUCCACCUCACCCUCUCUUGCUCAGCCUAUAUACCGCCAUCUUCAGCAAACCCUGAUAAAGGUUACAAAGUGAGCGCAAAUGCCUCCCCUCGCAAAAACGUUAGGUCAAGGUGUAGCCCAUGAGACGGUAAAAGAUGGGCUACAUUUUCUACCUCAGAAAACCCUACGACAACUCUUAUGAAACCUAAGAAUCCAAGGAGGAUUUAGCAGUAAAU
This 349-nucleotide ribosomal RNA is filed under the name Cercopithecus nictitans (white-nosed guenon). RNAcentral describes it as "partial 12S small subunit ribosomal RNA". The record is from RNAcentral. Lineage: Eukaryota; Metazoa; Chordata; Mammalia; Primates; Cercopithecidae.